This 970-nucleotide ribosomal RNA is filed under the name uncultured bacterium. RNAcentral's name for it is "bacterial SSU rRNA". It matches the Rfam family "Bacterial small subunit ribosomal RNA", at positions 69 to 1032 of the family's 1533-position model. The record is from RNAcentral.
GAACCUUCGGGGAACGAUAACGGCGUCGAGCGGCGGACGGGUGAGUAAUGCCUAGGAAAUUGCCCUGAUGUGGGGGAUAACCAUUGGAAACGAUGGCUAAUACCGCAUGAUGCCUACGGGCCAAAGAGGGGGACCUUCGGGCCUCUCGCGUCAGGAUAUGCCUAGGUGGGAUUAGCUAGUUGGUGAGGUAAGGGCUCACCAAGGCGACGAUCCCUAGCUGGUCUGAGAGGAUGAUCAGCCACACUGGAACUGAGACACGGUCCAGACUCCUACGGGAGGCAGCAGUGGGGAAUAUUGCACAAUGGGCGCAAGCCUGAUGCAGCCAUGCCGCGUGUGUGAAGAAGGCCUUCGGGUUGUAAAGCACUUUCAGUCGUGAGGAAGGCGGCGUCGUUAAUAGCGGCGUUGUUUGACGCUAGCGACAGAAGAAGCACCGGCUAACUCCGUGCCAGCAGCCGCGGUAAUACGGAGGGUGCGAGCGUUAAUCGGAAUUACUGGGCGUAAAGCGCAUGCAGGUGGUUUGUUAAGUCAGAUGUGAGAGCCCGGGGCUCAACCUCGGAAUAGCAUUUGAAACUGGCAGACUAGAGUACUGUAGAGGGGGGUAGAAUUUCAGGUGUAGCGGUGAAAUGCGUAGAGAUCUGAAGGAAUACCGGUGGCGAAGGCGGCCCCCUGGACAGAUACUGACACUCAGAUGCGAAAGCGUGGGGAGCAAACAGGAUUAGAUACCCUGGUAGUCCACGCCGUAAACGAUGUCUACUUGGAGGUUGUGGCCUUGAGCCGUGGCUUUCGGAGCUAACGCGUUAAGUAGACCGCCUGGGGAGUACGGUCGCAAGAUUAAAACUCAAAUGAAUUGACGGGGGCCCGCACAAGCGGUGGAGCAUGUGGUUUAAUUCGAUGCAACGCGAAGAACCUUACCUACUCUUGACAUCCAGAGAACUUUCCAGAGAUGGAUUGGUGCCUUCAGGAACUCUGA